GACAGAGGGGGCAAGCGUUGUCCGGAUUUAUUGGGCGUAAAGAGCGUGUAGGCGGCUUGGAAGGUCAGCUGUGAAAACUCGAGGCUCAACCUCGAGACGUCGGUUGAAACCACCUGGCUAGAGUCCGGAAGAGGAGAAUGGAAUUCCUGGUGUAGCGGUGAAAUGCGCAGAUAUCAGGAAGAACACCCGUGGCGAAGGCGGUUCUCUGGGACGGUACUGACGCUGAGACGCGAAAGCGUGGGGAGCGAACAGG
RNAcentral lists this ribosomal RNA (253 nucleotides) under uncultured bacterium. RNAcentral's name for it is "partial 16S ribosomal RNA". It matches the Rfam family "Bacterial small subunit ribosomal RNA", at positions 524 to 776 of the family's 1533-position model. The record is from RNAcentral.